RNAcentral lists this long non-coding RNA (309 nucleotides) under Homo sapiens (human). RNAcentral describes it as "non-protein coding lnc-KIAA1551-7:2". The record is from RNAcentral. Lineage: Eukaryota; Metazoa; Chordata; Mammalia; Primates; Hominidae.
GUGCUUGAUCCUGGAGAGCAGCCAUGUUGAGAAAAAGAUAUUUUGAGCCCUAAAAUAAUGAGAAAACAGGACAGAGAGAGGUGUUCUGAGCCAGUUCCAGAUUUUGCCAACUGUUGCAAGAACUCUAGAAUCUUUAUGUUAGUAAAAUGCCAAAAAUAAAAGUCUGCAUUGAAAGAACGUCUAACCACUUACUAUAAUCCAACCUUUUAGGAAGAAUGCAAAAUGGCAUACAUGAAGAAGAGUGAAGAAUCCAGAAAAACUGGAAUUCCUACAAAGAAAAGUCUAUAGAAACGUCCCAAAAGCAAGUAA